RNAcentral lists this ribosomal RNA (253 nucleotides) under uncultured bacterium. Its description in RNAcentral is "partial 16S ribosomal RNA". It matches the Rfam family "Bacterial small subunit ribosomal RNA", at positions 524 to 776 of the family's 1533-position model. The record is from RNAcentral.
UACGGGGGGGGCAAGCGUUGUUCGGAAUUACUGGGCGUAAAGGGCUCGUAGGCGGCCAACUAAGUCAGACGUGAAAUCCCUCGGCUUAACCGGGGAACUGCGUCUGAUACUGGAUGGCUUGAGUUUGGGAGAGGGAUGCGGAAUUCCAGGUGUAGCGGUGAAAUGCGUAGAUAUCUGGAGGAAUACCGGUGGCGAAGGCGGCAUCCUGGACCAACACUGACGCUGAGGAGCGAAAGCCAGGGGAGCAAACGGG